Molecule: long non-coding RNA, 409 nt
Filed under: Cavia porcellus (domestic guinea pig)
Lineage: Eukaryota; Metazoa; Chordata; Mammalia; Rodentia; Caviidae
Description: lncRNA (ENSCPOG00000033789.1)
Source: RNAcentral
UGAGAAUAGCAAUAAUUAUUCCACACAAAGACUGGACUCUGUUUCAAUAAUAGAAGGUACUUCAGUGUGGCUGGAUAAAAAGGGGAACAGUGGAAAGUAAAGGUGAAAAAUGAAGCUGGGGUCAGGACUUCAUUAAAUAAGUAGAGUUAACAAUUGAGUACUGGAGGGAUAAACAAUCUGUGUUAUCUAUGCUCAUUUCUCCAUUCUCUUUAACCCCUGUUAAGCUUUGCUAACAUUACUGCCAAAUUUCAUUCCCUAAUGUUGAUAAUUUCCUCCAAGCAGCAUAGCAGAGCCUGGGUUCCAGGAAUAUGGUCACCACCUACUGCUUUCUUCCCUGCUCAUUUGCUGCCACAAAGGUUUUCAAAGGUAAAAGUGUCAGAGGAUACAGAAGGAUUGACCUGUUUUGAAG